AGGACGAACGCUGGCGGCGUGCCUAAUACAUGCAAGUCGAGCGAAUCUUUGGGAGCUUGCUCCCAUUGGUUAGCGGCGGACGGGUGAGUAACACGUGGGCAACCUGCCUGUAAGACUGGGAUAACACCGGGAAACCGGUGCUAAUACCGGAUAAUCCUUUUCCUCACAUGAGGGAAAGCUGAAAGACGGCGCAAGCUGUCACUUACAGAUGGGCCCGCGGCGCAUUAGCUAGUUGGUGAGGUAACGGCUCACCAAGGCGACGAUGCGUAGCCGACCUGAGAGGGUGAUCGGCCACACUGGGACUGAGACACGGCCCAGACUCCUACGGGAGGCAGCAGUAGGGAAUCUUCCGCAAUGGACGAAAGUCUGACGGAGCAACGCCGCGUGAGCGAUGAAGGCCUUCGGGUCGUAAAGCUCUGUUGUUAGGGAAGAACAAGUACCGGAGUAACUGCCGGUACCUUGACGGUACCUAACCAGAAAGCCACGGC
This 488-nucleotide ribosomal RNA is filed under the name Bacillus sp. P135. RNAcentral describes it as "bacterial SSU rRNA". It matches the Rfam family "Bacterial small subunit ribosomal RNA", at positions 26 to 497 of the family's 1533-position model. Lineage: Bacteria; Bacillati; Bacillota; Bacilli; Caryophanales; Bacillaceae. The record is from RNAcentral.